This 1494-nucleotide long non-coding RNA is filed under the name Monodelphis domestica (gray short-tailed opossum). RNAcentral describes it as "lncRNA (ENSMODG00000039917.1)". The record is from RNAcentral. Lineage: Eukaryota; Metazoa; Chordata; Mammalia; Didelphimorphia; Didelphidae.
AUGUGGAUAGUGGUUUUUCUCACUGAUCCCUCCAAGUUGUUCAGGAUCACUGCACUGCCACAAAUGGAGAAGUCCAUUACAUUCGAUUAUACCACAGUGUGUCAGUCUCUGUGUACAAUAUUCUCCUGGUUCUGCUCCUCUCACUCUGCAUCACUUCCUGGAGGUUAUUCCAGUUACCAUGGAAUUGCUCCACUUUAUUAUUCCUUUGAGCACAAUAGUAUUCCAUCACCAACAUAUACCACAAUUUGUUCAGCCAUUCCCCAAUUGAAGGGGGGCAUCCCCUCAUUUUCCAAUUUUUUGCCACCACAAAGAGCACAGCUAUGAAAAUUGUUGUACAUAUCUUUUUCCUUAUUAUCUCUUUGGGGUACAACCCCAGCAGUGCUAUGGCUGGAUCAAAGGGCAGACAGUCUUUUAGAAUCCUUUGGGCAUAGUUCCAAAUUGCCCUCCAGAAUGGUUGGAUCAAUUCACAACUCCACCAGCAAUGAAUUAAUGUCUCCACUUUGCCACAUCACCUCCAACAUUCAUUAUUUUCCUUUGCUGUCAUGUUAGCCAAUCUGCUAGGUGUGAGGUGAUACCUCAGAGUUGUUUUGAUUUGCAUUUCUCUGAUUAUAAGAGAUUUAGAACACUUUUUCAUGUCCUUAGUAAUAGUUUGGGUUUUGUUAAGAUUAAAUUUUAUGGUUGAGACUGAAAUAUAAAUAUUAUUGGUCACCAAGGAUUUAAUUCCUUAAAUCCUAAAAUGAAACACUCAAGUUAGAAUGGAGUUUUAUGGUGAUUUAAUUACAAUAGGAGGAAGAAAUUAAGAAAGACAGAGAGAGAGAAAGAGAGAGUAACUCAACUGCCCUGGCUCAGGCUGAGCUGUAGGCAGGGGUUCAAGGUUUUUAGCCAAAGGCAGCUUUCCCCUGAGAAAAGAAGUCAGUCCUUAUCACUCACCCACAUGACCGAUUCAAGGAAAGCUGUCUGUGGGGCUCCUCCAAGCUCAAGUUCCAGGAUCAAACUGGCGUCUAGCCCUCUCCACAGGAAGUGAUGAGAACUACAAAAGCAGUUCUCUACAUCACUUCCUGCAUCUCACAUGUGCCAAUGGUGGCUCAAGCUUGGCUUAGGACAGCCCAGAGGGACAGUCAGUUGUUUCUGAUUUGUCAUUAGCUAGCACAUGCCCAUGUAGUGUGGGUGUGCACAUUCCUGGGUGCUAGACCAAGAAAGAUGGAGAAAAUCUAAAAGUCACAAUCCCCCCUGAUGAUGAUUGGGGGACUAGUCUCCCCAAUUGAUCACUAAACAUAAGCUUCCUGUACCCCAAAAAUUUCUAACUGCAAGUGUAUACAAAAUUUUACCCUCUAAGAGGAAAACUACAAUAGUUAUAGAUAAAGGGGAAAUAGAAGAGAGAGAGAAAGACAGCAAAACCAAUGUUUUUGCUGGGCUCAUUGACAAAACCAGUUGGGGGAAGUCCCCUUUUGGCAUAAGAGUGUACAUUCAAAAUAAAUCUUCAAUCAACCUUCA